GUGAUCAUUUUAGCAGCGUUUACACUAAAACUGGAACCAUACAGAGAAGGCGCGCAUGGCCCUGACACCAGGAUGACACCAAUUUGAGAUGCAUUUUAUAUGUUU
Molecule: small nuclear RNA, 105 nt
Organism: Tupaia belangeri (northern tree shrew)
Lineage: Eukaryota; Metazoa; Chordata; Mammalia; Scandentia; Tupaiidae
Source: Ensembl